UAGAGACGUGCAAGGGUGUAUGGCGCCCAAAGGAACGGGCUAGGGUCCAGGGUGCAACCUGGACACCCAAGGCGAGGCGGGGGUACAAGUGACCACCUGUAAGCUCAGCAUUCGGAGGCAGAGGCAGGAGGAUGGCCAAGUUCCAGCCCAGUUGGGCAGCUUAGGAUGCGUGGCUGGACGUGCAGCUCAGCGAGAAGGCUCUGGGUUCAAACCCCAGCACCACAGAACAAGCGCCCCGGAGCCUCAGCUUUUCCUCUACCCCUCCUCUCCCCACAGCUCUGUCCUCUCCCCUCCAUCUCCCUGCUGGCCUGGGAGCAGCCAGACCCUGCGGGAGAGCGCACUCUCCUUCUACCCCACUGGCCACUGGUCCCUGCCUGCUCCUUGUCUCGCCGUGUCCUAAGCUCAUCGCCCGUCCUGAGGCCCUGCCCGGCCACCCGCCUCGGCCAGAGUCGCCUGUGGAGGUGGCAGCAGGCCGUCAGCGACUCGGCCUAGGUCAGGUCACCCCAGGCAGCAGUCCUGGCGUGUGCGGGAUGGCCCGUGGCCCAGCGGGACCGGGGCUGCAUUUCUGCAGGGUCAGGCAUGUCCCGACCAGGCCUGUGAAGCCGGGCACCGCAGCCCAGCACAGCUCUGCCUGGUGGAUCUCACCACACCCAGCUCUGACAGCGGCCGCCCUGUCCUCCUCCUUCUCCUGCUCUGGCCUCCCAGCAUUGGGAGAGCUGCUGGGCUGAGCCCCUGGAGAGGAGAGGGAAGGAGCUGUGUCCCACGCGUGCUGCCUGCCGCCUAGGGUGCGUACAGGUCUGGGGUUUGUUGAGUGAAUACCUGUUAACUGUCUUAUUUAGGUGUGGAUUUCAUGUCUCGUGCUGAGUCUGAGCAGGACCAGUGAGGACAGGGUCACUUCUUGGCAGGGCCAAAGCCAUGUGGGGAGGGAUCAGAGAGCCUCGGAGAGCAGGACCGAAUUCUGGAGCCUGGCUGCUCCUGCCUGGUGCUGGGGAGGGGCCUCAGGUCAAGAGUCUCAAGCACCUG
Non-coding RNA from Heterocephalus glaber (naked mole-rat), 1023 nucleotides. The record is from RefSeq and is a predicted model, not a curated record. NCBI's taxonomy places the organism in Eukaryota, Metazoa, Chordata, Mammalia, Rodentia, Bathyergidae.